CUUUCCCAGGCACAUCUCUCUAACGCUUCCUGCCACCUUCCGAGGCAGGAACAGCACCCGGACAGACUACGAGUACCAGCAUUCCAAUUUGUAUGCCAUAUCAGCAAUGGAUGGUGUGCCUUUUAUGAUUUCUGAGAAGUUUUCUUGUGUUCCAGAAAGUAUGCAACCCUUUGAUCUCUUGGGAAUCACCAUCAAAUCUCUAGCAGAAAUUGAAAAAGAGUAUGAGUACAGCUUCCGCACGGAGCAGAGUGCCGCCGCCAGGCUCCCGCCCAGCCCCACCAGGUGCCAGCAGAUCCCGCAGUCCUGAGCCAGCGGCCACCUGCGGGGAGAAUAUGACCGCCAGACUACUGACCAGGCGGCUGGGGCUGCGGGCCAUUCCCCUCCCUCGCCCGCCCCCCUCACCUCCGCCACCCUUCCUCCCACACUGCCCACCAGGGCAGCCCGGGGACUCUGAGCAGCUGAGUGGAUGUGUCCUGUCAUCAGCUUGCCUGACACGGCACCCCAGCCUCCCUUGGGGACAUCAUUCAUAACCACAACUAAUCUGUGUGUGCUGUAGUGACCAGCAACUCCUAAUGUGUCUGUGUGAUGACCAGUCAUCCUACAAAAUCCCCACCCACCACAGAGUCACCCUGGGGCCCCAGGUAAUUGCUCCAGUUGCUCAGUGACACCCACCCUUCUCUCCUGUCACCUGCCAUGGCAGAUGCCACUAAGCCACUGUUUUCCCUCCUGGAAGACCCUGGUGGUUGGCGGCUUUGCAUAGGACCCUCAGGGCUAGCUUAUUAUUCCAGGCCCAGGGCUGCCUGUAACAAGUCUCCCUCCCCACGGUAUUUCACAGCACCCUGAGAACAUGCGGGAGGAGGAAGCCAGCAACCCUGGCAAGGCCCCUGCCCCUCUUUGGACAUCUCUUCACACGGAACGCCUGAAGACCAGGAGCAGCAUGCCCCAUAGCCCGUGGACGGG
This is an RNA transcript of Carlito syrichta (Philippine tarsier), 960 nucleotides long. RefSeq lists it as uncharacterized. The transcript is spliced from 4 exons. NCBI's taxonomy places the organism in Eukaryota, Metazoa, Chordata, Mammalia, Primates, Tarsiidae. The record is from RefSeq and is a predicted model, not a curated record.